This 484-nucleotide ribosomal RNA is filed under the name uncultured bacterium. Its description in RNAcentral is "partial 16S ribosomal RNA". It matches the Rfam family "Bacterial small subunit ribosomal RNA", at positions 29 to 507 of the family's 1533-position model. The record is from RNAcentral.
AUUGAACGCUGGCGGCAGGCCUAACACAUGCAAGUCGAGCGGCUGCACGGAGCUUGCUCCUGGUUUCAGCGGCGGACGGGUGAGUAAUGCCUAGGAAUAUGCCUGGUCGUGGGGGAUAACGUCCGGAAACGGGCGCUAAUACCGCAUACGUCCUGAGGGAGAAAGUGGGGGAUCUUCGGACCUCACGCUAUUAGAUUAGCCUAAGUCGGAUUUGCUAGUUGGUGGGGUAAAGGCCUACCAAGGCAACGAUCCGUAACUGGUCUGAGAGGAUGAUCAGGCAAAAUGGGACUGAGAAACGGGCCAGACGCCUACGGGAGGGAGGAGGGGGGAAAUUUGGAAAAUGGGGGGAAAGCCUAUACAAGCAAUGCGGGGGGGGGAAGAAGGAGUUAGGGUUGGAAAGCGACUUUAGGAGGGAAGAAAGGGAGGGAGUUAAUACAGUGCUGUAAUGACGGUACCAAAAGAAGAAGCACCGGCUAACUACGUG